This 497-nucleotide ribosomal RNA is filed under the name uncultured bacterium. RNAcentral describes it as "partial 16S ribosomal RNA". It matches the Rfam family "Bacterial small subunit ribosomal RNA", at positions 28 to 507 of the family's 1533-position model. The record is from RNAcentral.
GAUGAACUCUGGCGGCGUGCCUAAUACAUGCAAGUCGAGCGAACAGACGAGGAGCUUACUCCUCUGACGUUAGCGGCGGACGGGUGAGUAACACGUGGAUAACCUACCUAUAAGACUGGGAUAACUUCGGGAAACCGGAGCUAAUACCGGAUAACAUGUUGAACCGCAUGGUUCAACAGUGAAAGACGGUCUUGCUGUCACUUAUAGAUGGAUCCGCGUCGCAUUAGCUAGUUGGUAAGGUAACGGCUUACCAAGGCAACGAUGCGUAGCCGACCUGAGAGGGUGAUCGGCCACACUGGAACUGAGACACGGUCCAGACUCCUACGGGAGGCAGCAGUAGGGAAUCUUCCGCAAUGGGCGAAAGCCUGACGGAGCAACGCCGCGUGAGUGAAGAAGGUCUUCGGAUCGUAAAACUCUGUUAUUAGGGAAGAACAAAUGUGUAAGUAACUAUGCACGUCUUGACGGUACCUAAUCAGAAAGCCGCGGCUAACUACGUG